ACUUAUCUCAAGUUAGAUUCCUGGUCCUGGAUGAAGCUGAUGGGCUUCUUUCUCAAGGUUAUUCUGAUUUUAUAAAUAGGAUGCACAAUCAGAUUCCUCAGGUUACUUCUGAUGGAAAAAGACUUCAGGUGAUUGUUUGCUCUGCCACUUUGCAUUCUUUCGAUGUAAAGAAACUGUCUGAGAAGAUAAUGCAUUUUCCUACAUGGGUUGACUUAAAAGGAGAAGACUCUGUUCCAGAUACUGUACACCAUGUUGUUGUCCCAGUAAAUCCCAAAACUGACAGACUCUGGGAAAGACUUGGAAAGAGCCACAUUAGAACUGAUGAUGUACAUGCAAAAGAUAACACAAGACCUGGUGCUAAUAGUCCAGGUGAGUUAAAAGAGCCAAAUGUGUUGAAAGAUUUUGAAAAUGAAAUUUAUACCUUACCUAUUCUCAUGAAGGAUGUGAGGUGACCUGCAAAAUUACAACAGGAAAUUUGGAAAUAAAGGCAACAAAAAUAAUAAAAAAGAAAUGGGGAAAAAGCUGAUACUAGUCAACUUAGAGGAAUAUGAAUCAUUGAAUUUAUUUUUAAUUUUUUGAGACAGAGUCACGUUGUUGUCACCCAGGCUGGAGUGCAAUGGCACAGUCUCAGCUCAAGGCAA
Molecule: small RNA, 641 nt
Filed under: Pongo abelii (Sumatran orangutan)
Lineage: Eukaryota; Metazoa; Chordata; Mammalia; Primates; Hominidae
Description: retained intron
Source: RNAcentral